Molecule: ribosomal RNA, 821 nt
Filed under: Russula quintanensis
Lineage: Eukaryota; Fungi; Basidiomycota; Agaricomycetes; Russulales; Russulaceae
Description: partial large subunit ribosomal RNA
Source: RNAcentral
UUGGCCAUCCGAGUUGUAAUUUAGAGAAGCGUCUUCCGCGCUGGACCGUGCACAAGUCUCCUGGAACGGAGCGUCGUAGAGGGUGAGAAUCCCGUCUUUGGCACGGACGCACCAGGGCUUUUGUGAUGCGCUCUCGAAGAGUCGAGUUGUUUGGGAAUGCAGCUCAAAAUGGGUGGUGAACUCCAUCUAAAGCUAAAUAUUGGCGAGAGACCGAUAGCGAACAAGUACCGUGAGGGAAAGAUGAAAAGCACUUUGGAAAGAGAGUGAAACAGUACGUGAAAUUGUUGAAAGGGAAACGCUUGAAGUCAGUCGCGUCGACCGAGACUCAACCUCGCCUCGGCUUGGUGUACUUCUCGGCCCGACGGGUCAGCAUCAAUUUCGCCCCUCGAAGAAUGGCGGGAGAAACGUGACACCUUUACGGUGUGUUAUAGUCUCUCGUCGCACGCGAGGGUCGGGAUUGAGGAACUCAGCACGCGCCUUUGGGUGUCGGAGUCCGGUUGCUCACGAUACGUGCUUAGGAUGUUGGCGUAAUGGCUUUAAACGACCCGUCUUGAAACACGGACCAAGGAGUCUAACAUGCCUGCGAGUGUUCGGGUGGAAAACCCGUGCGCGCAAUGAAAGUGAAAGUUGGGACCUCYGUCGUGGAGGGCACCGACGCCCGGACCAGACCUUCUGUGACGGCUCUGCGGUAGAGCAUGCAUGUUAGGACCCGAAAGAUGGUGAACUAUGCCUGAAUAGGGUGAAGCCAGAGGAAACUCUGGUGGAGGCUCGUAGCGAUUCUGACGUGCAAAUCGAUCGUCAAAUUUGGGUAUAGGGGCGAA